This 87-nucleotide transfer RNA is filed under the name Ensifer adhaerens. RNAcentral describes it as "tRNA-Ser". It matches the Rfam family "tRNA". Rfam says of the family: Transfer RNA (tRNA) molecules are approximately 80 nucleotides in length. RNAcentral also lists the same sequence under 2 other names. Lineage: Bacteria; Pseudomonadati; Pseudomonadota; Alphaproteobacteria; Hyphomicrobiales; Rhizobiaceae. The record is from RNAcentral.
GGAGAGGUGGCUGAGUGGUCGAAAGCACCGCACUCGAAAUGCGGCGUACGGGCAACCGUACCGUGGGUUCGAAUCCCACCCUCUCCG